CACGUAGGGUGCGAGCGUUGUCCGGAAUUAUUGGGCGUAAAGAGCUUGUAGGCGGUUUGUCGCGUCUGCCGUGAAAAUCCGAGGCUCAACCUCGGACUUGCGGUGGGUACGGGCAGACUAGAGUGUGGUAGGGGAGACUGGAAUUCCUGGUGUAGCGGUGAAAUGCGCAGAUAUCAGGAGGAACACCGAUGGCGAAGGCAGGUCUCUGGGCCACUACUGACGCUGAGAAGCGAAAGCAUGGGGAGCGAACAGG
Molecule: ribosomal RNA, 253 nt
Filed under: uncultured bacterium
Lineage: Bacteria
Description: partial 16S ribosomal RNA
Rfam family: Bacterial small subunit ribosomal RNA
Source: RNAcentral